GACGAACGCUGGCGGCGUGCUUAACACAUGCAAGUCGAACGGAAAGGCCCUGCUUUUGUGGGGUGCUCGAGUGGCGAACGGGUGAGUAACACGUGAGUAACCUGCCCUUGACUUUGGGAUAACUUCAGGAAACUGGGGCUAAUACCGGAUAGGAGCUCCUGCUGCAUGGUGGGGGUUGGAAAGUUUCGGCGGUUGGGGAUGGACUCGCGGCUUAUCAGCUUGUUGGUGGGGUAGUGGCGUACCAAGGCUUUGACGGGUAGCCGGCCUGAGGGGGUGACCGGCCACCUUGGGACUACGAUACGGACCAGACUCCUACGGGAGGCAGUAGUGGGGAACAUUGCACAAUGGGCGGAAGCCUGAUGCAGAAACGCCGCGUGCGUGAUGACGGCCUUCUGGUUGUAAACCGCUGUCGCCUGUGCCGAACCGAGAGUGACGGUAAUGGGUAAAGAAGCACCGGCUAACUACGUG
This 468-nucleotide ribosomal RNA is filed under the name uncultured bacterium. Its description in RNAcentral is "partial 16S ribosomal RNA". It matches the Rfam family "Bacterial small subunit ribosomal RNA", at positions 28 to 507 of the family's 1533-position model. The record is from RNAcentral.